This is an RNA transcript of Prunus persica (peach), 1415 nucleotides long. It is a transcript of the gene named UPF0047 protein YjbQ, with no coding region annotated. The transcript has 7 exons. The record is from RefSeq and is a predicted model, not a curated record. NCBI's taxonomy places the organism in Eukaryota, Viridiplantae, Streptophyta, Magnoliopsida, Rosales, Rosaceae.
GUGAGAGAGAGGAGAGGAGAAUUUGUUUGAGAGGAACAAGAGGGCAUCUGAAAAACAAAACAGGCGCGAUUGGAUGGAAGAAAGGCGGGAUUGGAAAAGGCGUGCCAGGACAUGUGCGCUAAGGGGAAGUUUUUCUAUUGUAAGCUCUCUCUUUUUCUCUCCAACCAUUGAGAUCACUUUGAUGGCUGAGAUGGGGCCGUAAAUAGGGGUUCGCAAAAAAGGAGUUCCCACCUGAGCCGCGUGCGGGGAAGGAUUCUUCAACGACCUGUGCAGUUCCCAAAGUCCUACAUUUGGGCUUUUAGACCAGACCAUAGGAGUAUAAAUGCAAAUGCAAAUGCUGCAGAGCUCAGUGUCAUUGGGACUGUCAGCGUCUCCGGUUCGCGUCGUCAAGUGUUCUUUGGUCGGGCUCCGAGGACCACCGUCAACGAUCCCAAUUCAAUGGCAGCAGCUGGUCCCAAGUGGGCCCAGAAGACCAUAACUCUGGGGUUGUCAUCUCAUCACCCCUCAGAUAGUGAAGGAAAUUGGCCAGGAAUUGUCAGAUUUCAACUGCGGCCUUGCACAUCUCUUUUUGCAGCACACUACUGCUUCUCUUACUAUCAAUGAGAAUGUUGACUCUGAUGUUCGUGAUGAUACAGAGACAUUCCUCAAUAGGAUAGUUCCUGAGGGGACAUCUGCACCAUGGAAGCAUACCCUUGAAGGCUCAGAUGACAUGCCGGGGCAUAUUAAAUCAUUAAUGUUUGGCUGCACACUGACGGUUCCAAUUACAAAUGGAAAGCUUAACAUGGUACCUUGGCAGGGAAUAUGGUUGUGUGAGCAUUGUGACUAUCCUACUGGGCAGAAAGUUGUGGUCACCCUUAAUGGAAUAUGAGAAGCUUAGAUGGAAGUUUCCUGUUUCUUUCAUCCAGUGUGCAAAUGAAGUUGUACUCAAAGUAUCUUCUAUGUUAAUGGGUGGGUUGGAUGUUAGCGUGCUAGCUAUUUUCUAUGUUAAUGGCAGCUUCCCUACCAGAAUUUGGUAAUAUCUUGUUACUUGUAAUGGAUUUAAGUUUUGUUAUGCAAACUUGUAGAAAAUGUAAUGGAAUUAACUUGUUACUUAUUAGCUAUUGCGACAAUAGCAGCUGCUUGCCAAUUACCAUGUAAGAAAUUUUGGAACUUCCUGGGAGUUUCUACGUCGAAACCUUGCAGGUGUAUAUAACAUCAACGGGUCAAAUUGCAGGUAUUAAAGUUACAUGAUUCUGCAGUGGGAGCCAGCCUGAUUGGUUUUUUUUUUUUUUUUUUUUUUUUUUUUUUUUGUUACAAGCGAUAGUCUAAAUUAGAGGAGAGGAGGUUUCUCACACACACACAAUCAAGAUGCCAUGGAGGUUAGAUCUCACGCACAACCAAGAUGUCUGCUCGAAAAGGGAAAAGAAAAAAAAAAA